Molecule: ribosomal RNA, 623 nt
Filed under: uncultured archaeon
Lineage: Archaea
Description: bacterial SSU rRNA
Rfam family: Archaeal small subunit ribosomal RNA
Source: RNAcentral
GUUAUACUCCAUAGUUCGUUAUUACUGGAAUGUUUUUCGAACGAAAGAUCCGUCGCUUCAGGAUGAGUCUGCGGCCGAUUAGGUAGUUGUUGGGGUAAUUGCCCAACAAGCCUGUAAUCGGUACGGGUUGUGGGAGCAAGAGCCCGGAGAUGGAUUCUGAGACACGAAUCCAGGCCCUACGGGGUGCAGCAGGCGCGAAAACUUUACCAUGCGGGCAACCGUGAUAAGGAAACCCCGAGUGCCAGCACAGGCUGGCUGUCCGCCAGUUUAAACAACUGGCGAAGAAAGGGCCGGGCAAGACCGGUGCCAGCCGCCGCGGUAAUACCGGCGGCUCGAGUGGUGGCCGCUAUUACUGGGCUUAAAGGGUCCGUAGCUUGAUAAUAGGGUCCCUUGAGAAAUCCGCCGGCUUAACUGGCGGGCGUUCAGGGGAAACUUGUUUUCUAGGGACCGGGAGAGGUGAGGGGUACUGCCGGGGUAGGAGUGAAAUCCUGUAAUCCCGGUGGGACCACCUAUGGCGAAGGCAUCUCACCAGAACGGGUCCGACAGUGAGGGACGAAAGCUGGGGGAGCAAACCGGAUUAAAUACCCGGGUAAUCCCAGCUGUAAACUAUGUGCGUUAGGUGU